This 1359-nucleotide ribosomal RNA is filed under the name Harpiosquilla harpax. Its description in RNAcentral is "large ribosomal RNA subunit". The stretch from base 640 to 1359 matches the Rfam family "Archaeal large subunit ribosomal RNA", at positions 1423 to 2811 of the family's 2987-position model. Lineage: Eukaryota; Metazoa; Arthropoda; Malacostraca; Stomatopoda; Squillidae. The record is from RNAcentral.
AAAUUAAACUUAUCUAUUUGUUGUUGUAGAUUAUAUAAACUUAAUGAAAAUAAUCUUUGUCUUUUGAAAACUAGUAUUUAAUAAAGAAUCUUUUCUUUGGUGAUAAAUAAAAAGUACUGUAAAGGAAUGUUGAAAUAUUUGAAAAAUUGUUUGUUUAAAAGUAUAAUUUAAAAUUAGUACCUUGUGUUUCAGGGGAUUUAAAUAUUAAAUUUGUUAUAAUAAAUAUUCCCGAAAUUUGGUGAGCUAGUUUGAAAAAAAUAGUUAACGUGGUAUAGUUAUUAUUAAUUACUUACUAGAAAUGAAAUUUUAUACGUACUAAUAAGUAUCUGGUUUUUUGAUAAAUAAAUUUAAUUUAGCUUUUAAUGUAACAUUUAAUUAAAAUGUAAAAAUAGGAGGGAAAAGCUUCUUAUUUAAUAAUAAAUGAACUAUAAAUAAUUGUAAUUGUAUAUAUUUAAUUAGGCUUAAAAUCAGUCAUUUUAAAAAAUCGUUAUAGAUUAUGUAUUGUAUUUUAGUAUUUAAUAAUUGUUUUAGUGGUUUUAUCAAAAAUUGUAAUACAAUAAAAAAUUUUUGGUUAUAAUUAAAUCAUUAGUAUAAAAAUGUGUUUAAUGUUUAAUAUAACAAGAUAAAAUUUUAUGUGUUUAUUAACUUUAAAUUUAUAUUAAGGAACUCGGCAAUUAUUCCUUCUGCCUGUUUAUCAAAAACAUGUCCAUAUGCUUAAAGGUUUAUAUGGUCUGGCCUGCCCACUGAUCUGUGAAAUUAAAGGGCCGCGGUAUUCUGACCGUGCGAAGGUAGCAUAAUAAUUAGUCUCCUAAUUAGAGGCUUGUAUGAAUGGUCGGACAAGAUGGAAACUGUCUCAAUAUAAUAAAUAAAAUUUAAUAUUUAAGUAAAAAAGCUUAAAUAAUAUGGAGGGACGAUAAGACCCUAUAAAGCUUUAUGACAUAUUUUUUUUUAUAAAUUAUUUUGUUAUUAACUUAAUAUAAAAUGUAUGUCAUUUUACUGGGGCGGUAAAAGUAUAAUUAAAGAAUAACUGCUUUUGUUUUUAAUAACAAUUAUAGUUGGAAAUGAAUUGAUCCAUUAUUAAUGAUCACAAGAACAAGUUACUUUAGGGAUAACAGCGUAAUUUUUUUUGAGAGUUCUUAUCGAAAAAAAAGUUUGCGACCUCGAUGUUGAAUUAAGGAUAACCUUAAGGUGCAGCAGCUUUAAAGGUAGAUCUGUUCGAUCUUUAAAUCCUUACAUGAUUUGAGUUCAGACCGGCGUGAGCCAGGUUGGUUUCUAUCUUCCAUAAAAAUAAAAUCUAUUUUAGUACGAAAGGAUUUGGUAGAUCAAACAUUUUGUUAUUGGUAUGAUUAUUAUUAACUA